This 1091-nucleotide long non-coding RNA is filed under the name Anas platyrhynchos platyrhynchos (common mallard). RNAcentral describes it as "lncRNA (ENSAPLG00000023965.1)". The record is from RNAcentral. Lineage: Eukaryota; Metazoa; Chordata; Aves; Anseriformes; Anatidae.
UGAGACAGGAAGGCAGGAUGUUGAUACGCUAGGUUAGCAACUUAUCAGGAGAUGGUUACGUGAGCUUUGCAGCAGGGUCUUUGAACAAAAGAGGCAACUGAGAUGCUGAAGGAGAGAAGGGGAGGGGGUUCUCUUUUUUUGUUACAUUAAGCAAAGGAAUUUUCAUAGUGUCUAGCCAAGCAUUAGACAGCUCCUUACUUCAGCAGGGAGUUUUCACAACUCCCGUUCCUCAAACGGAACUCCUUGUUUUUAUAAUACAAAAGACAAUGAACAAACAUUUAUUGUGUAUUACGGUCCCCACAUCCCAUCCCAAAGCAUGCAGGGGUUGAGCAGGAGCCACCUUUAUUCCAUGGGACAGGGGACAACGGGGACAGGGACAACAGGGACAGGGACAAUGGGGACAAUACGGACAAAGGACAUGGGACAAUGGGGACAGGAGACAAUGGGGACAAGGGGCAGGGGAAAUUGGGGGAUGGGGACAAGAGGGGACACGGGGAGGGGGGACAAAGUUGGGGGUGGUGGAGACAGGAGGAGGAGGGGACGGGGACAAUGGGGAUGGACCGGGAAUGGGGGGACACCUGGGGACAUGGGGGAACUUGGGGACAUUUUGGGGUGUUGGGGGCACCUGGGGACACCAGGGGACACCAGGGGAGACCAGGGGAUGUUGAGGGACACUUGGGGACAUGGGGGAUAUGGGGGACACCCAGGGGUGUUGGGAGACACCAGGGGACUUUGGGGACUUGGGGACAUUGGGGUCACCUGGGGAUUUGGGAACACCAGGGGACGUGGGGAUGUGGAGACUCCUGGGGGUCUUGGGGACACCUGGGGACACUUGGGGACACUGGGGACACACAGGGGAUUUGGGAAUACUGUGGGACGUUGAGGGACACCUGGGAAGGCCCGGAGACAUUGUGGGGUAACACGGGGAUUUGGGGACACCUGGGGAUGUCGGGAGACACCAGGGAACUUUGGGGACACCUGGGGAUUUGGGGACACCAAGGGAUGUGGAGAUGGGUGAGGGUCUUGGGGAUAACCAGGGGGUCUUGGGGACACCAGGGGACAUUGGGGCCAUUGGGGACGUCCCUCAGAUG